UACAUUUAGUAGAGACUGUUGAAGCCACCUGGUCCCAGCAGACACCAGAGAAUGGCCACAUUCGCUGGUGCUGAAACAAGGUUGUUAAGGGUGAAGCCUGGUGCCAGAUGUGU
RNAcentral lists this ribosomal RNA (113 nucleotides) under Panthera tigris altaica (Amur tiger). Lineage: Eukaryota; Metazoa; Chordata; Mammalia; Carnivora; Felidae. The record is from RNAcentral.